RNAcentral lists this ribosomal RNA (269 nucleotides) under uncultured prokaryote. RNAcentral describes it as "partial 16S ribosomal RNA". It matches the Rfam family "Bacterial small subunit ribosomal RNA", at positions 524 to 792 of the family's 1533-position model. The record is from RNAcentral.
UACGUAGGUGGCAAGCGUUAUCCGGAAUUAUUGGGCGUAAAGAGCGCGCAGGUGGUUGAUUAAGUCUGAUGUGAAAGCCCACGACUUAACCGUGGAGGGUCAUUGGAAACUGGUCGACUUGAGUGCAGAAGAGGGAAGUGGAAUUCCAUGUGUAGCGGUGAAAUGCGUAGAGAUAUGGAGGAACACCAGUGGCGAAGGCGGCUUCCUGGUCUGUAACUGACACUGAGGCGCGAAAGCGUGGGGAGCAAACAGGAUUAGAUACCCGGGUA